AUACGGAGGAUGCGAGCGUUAUCCGGAUUCAUUGGGUUUAAAGGGUGCGUAGGCGGAAUUGUAAGUCAGCGGUGAAAUCCCGGUCGCUUAACGAUGGGACUGCCGUUGAAACUGCGAUUCUUGAGACCGGACGAAGCGGGCGGAAUGCGUGGUGUAGCGGUGAAAUGCUUAGAGAUCACGCAGAACUCCGAUUGCGAAGGCAGCUCGCUAGGGCGUAUCUGACGCUGAAGCACGAAAGCGUGGGGAUCAAACAGGAUUAGAUACCCUGGUAGUCCACGCAGUAAACGAUGAUCACUAGGAGUGCGCGACAGGCUGUGCGCUCUACAGCGAAAGCGUUAAGUGAUCCACCUGGGGAGUACGCCGGCAACGGUGAAACUCAAAUGAAUUGACGGGG
This 394-nucleotide ribosomal RNA is filed under the name uncultured bacterium. RNAcentral describes it as "partial 16S ribosomal RNA". It matches the Rfam family "Bacterial small subunit ribosomal RNA", at positions 523 to 918 of the family's 1533-position model. The record is from RNAcentral.